Molecule: small nuclear RNA, 104 nt
Filed under: Rosa chinensis
Lineage: Eukaryota; Viridiplantae; Streptophyta; Magnoliopsida; Rosales; Rosaceae
Source: RNAcentral
GACCAUUUCGGGGACAUCUGAUAAAAUUGGAACGAUACAGAGAAGAUUAGCAUGGCCCCUGCGCAAGGAUGACACGCAUAAAUCGAGAAAUGGUCCUGUCAAUA